RNAcentral lists this long non-coding RNA (1174 nucleotides) under Salvator merianae (Argentine black and white tegu). Its description in RNAcentral is "lncRNA (ENSSMRG00000016917.1)". Lineage: Eukaryota; Metazoa; Chordata; Lepidosauria; Squamata; Teiidae. The record is from RNAcentral.
GAAAAACUACGGACGGCAAGAUCANGUCGGGACAGCGGGAACUGAAGACGGCCUGUAAACUGAUUAAAUGCCGUGUGGGAACGCGGCCAACGUCUCGCAAUCCCUGUUCUCCUAAGGGCGCGUCUUUGGGAAGAUUUCUGCAAAUAAACCUGGCCAGAGAGUUUACACGUGCGUCUUUCCUGCAUCCCAGAUAGGGAGAGGCAGUGGUAGGAAAAAACGUUCAGAAAAGAGAGCGAAAAAAACCAGAACACACCAUCUCCCUGCUGCUAAGCCUUUAUAAGGGCAAAACUUUGAAAACUACUGAACCGCUGGGAAGAAGGUUGGACGCAAAANCUUCGAGGUUCCUCCCGCUUCCUCCGCGCUUAUCAAGCCGCAGGAUCAAGGCUGGGGGGAGGGGGAAGUGAUCCGGAUUGCCCCCGAGUCUCUGGGUGGGCGUGAGCAAGGCGAGAGAAAGUCACUCCUGCAGGGUGGGUGUUAGGAGCCCCCCCCUCCCUCCCCGCAGCCAACCCCUCCGGCAGCCUCGCGCGCCCCUGGGAGAUCCCACCCGCUCCUCGUCGUUCCGCCCCGGGUGGGGGGCUCGCUUGGCUUUGUUCGGCGCCCGGAGGGAGGCGCCCCGCCGCCGCGAGCGCAAAGUUUGGAGAGGCUCCUUUGCGCAAGCGGGCGCCGCUUUUGCACAGACAGGGCGAGUGCGGCGGGGCGCGCGUCCUCCUCCUCCUCCUCCUCCUCCCGGCGUUGCAGGCUACGAGCAGCAGCGCGCUUGCUUGCUGGGCUUCCCCUCGGCUGCAGCCCGACCCGCGUUGCUGCCGGCGUUCCCGUCCGCUCCUUGCCUUCGUCUCCGUCCGCCGCUCUUCCCCGCGCGCGCUCCUCCGCUUCCCUGCCUGCCCAGGUGCGCGGUACCUUCUGGAGACGGGAGCAGCUCGCUCGCGCCGCGCGCCAGCCCGGGACGGAGCAGAAGCGAAGCGAGGUGAAGCUGGUAGAGCUCCAGUGUACGAGCCCUCUGUGUGGGAAAAGAAAAAUCNCAGGGGAAGCCAUCUGCCGCUGAGAACUACCCAUUUUUCCUGUCUGUGAAAGGUAUGGUGGAGUUGCUUGCGUGUGUCUGCUGGUUGCAGAAGUCUCCGUUUUAUCCUGUGAUUCCGUCCUACCGCCCCUGCCAGACGCCGGAGGCAACUGUGGG